AGGCAGGAAACGAACUGGGGACUCGGGGUCGGUUCCACUCAACAGGAAGAGGAAAAGAUCUAUUUCCUGCCUCCCCGAUGGGACAAAGGGAACCCUCUACAAGAUGUCCUCCCGCUCAGGGGAGCACGUGGGACUGCCCUGUU
Sphaerodactylus townsendi is the source of this 143-nucleotide long non-coding RNA. RefSeq lists it as uncharacterized. NCBI's taxonomy places the organism in Eukaryota, Metazoa, Chordata, Lepidosauria, Squamata, Sphaerodactylidae. The record is from RefSeq and is a predicted model, not a curated record. The transcript is spliced from 3 exons.